This 63-nucleotide transfer RNA is filed under the name Sambus kanssuensis. Its description in RNAcentral is "tRNA-Gly". Lineage: Eukaryota; Metazoa; Arthropoda; Insecta; Coleoptera; Buprestidae. The record is from RNAcentral.
AUUUAUAUAGUAUAAAUAUUAUUUUUGACUUCCAAUCAAAAGAUCUAGAAAUUAGUAUAAAUA